UACGGAGGGUGCGAGCGUUGUCCGGAAUCAUUGGGCGUAAAGGGCGCGUAGGUGGCGGGAUAAGCGUGCGGUGAAAGCUCGGGGCUCAACCCCGAGUCGGCCGUGCGAACUAUUCUGCUUGAGCACUGUAGAGGCAGGCGGAAUUCCGGGUGUAGCGGUGGAAUGCGUAGAGAUCCGGAAGAACACCGGUGGCGAAGGCGGCCUGCUGGGCAGUAGCUGACACUGAGGCGCGACAGCGUGGGGAGCGAACAGG
RNAcentral lists this ribosomal RNA (253 nucleotides) under uncultured bacterium. Its description in RNAcentral is "partial 16S ribosomal RNA". It matches the Rfam family "Bacterial small subunit ribosomal RNA", at positions 524 to 776 of the family's 1533-position model. The record is from RNAcentral.